CCCCACCCCCCAGCUGAAUUAAGCUCACCCUCAGCACUUAAUCUGUUGUGUAAACACUGCAGAUUUAGAGUUUAGAUCAUCCUCACACUCAGCCCUGGGCGUCCCAGAGCUUGGUGGCUUGCCCCUCUUGGCAACCCUAGGCCCUAGCAGGGUUCCAGGGCCGCCAUAAAUGUCUGUUGAAUGACGGUGUUUCCUGCUUCUGCUUUGACCUCCAUUUUGUCUUCUGAAGCUUUGCCCUAUGCUUUCGAAAGGGCUCUCCUUUCAUUUAUCCCCUUAACCCCUCCUACCAGCCCUGAGAUGUGGCUAAAGGAGUUCUAACAACUCUGAGUUUAAAGAGGCAGGCAAUUUACCUUACCAAGUCCUACACUCAGUUUCUGGAAGAAAUCUGACUACUACCAGGUCUCUCUACUCUCCUAAGACAGGUGCUUUGUUCUGUUUUUUGUUUGUACCAAGCAGUUGUCAAAAUAACUUAAAUAUUAACAUUGCUUACAUAUUCUCCACUCCUGAGAGAUAGAUAAGAACUGAACCAUCGCUCAUUCCUCUAUGGCAAUCCUAGGGCUGACUUUGGGACUAUAUCCAAAACCUCAGGGAGGCGCCUGGUCUCAACUCUCUCCACAGGAUUCUGAGGCUCUGGAAAGGGGGCAGCAACCUGACCUGAGUUGGGUGAAUCACCCUGGGCUCUCUGAGUUUUCAGAACUAAUAUUUGGCGACUCCAAGGCCAGGGAUAAAAAUGAAGAGAUGGAGAGACAAGAUUUCCUGGCCUCUAAUUGGCAGCACCCGUUGACUCUGCUCGUGACCAGACUCAUGAACGCUUCAUCCAAGGUUUCAUGUCAUCCGUGUGAGGAACCUCUCUGAUUUGAGAAAAUCUUUCUUAAAAUGGGCUUCUAGUUGUAAAGCCAUUGUCUUUUUAGGAAAUCAUCAAAUACCUUAAAGCUAGACACGCAAUCAGCUGCAUAAAUGACACACUCACUAAAUCAAUCCUUUAUCAGGUGGUCCUUCAAGGAUUUCUUGGUUUUGGGUUUUGAAAUGUGUAAGGUUUGCUGCUAGCAACUCCACAUUUUUUUAUUCACUCACAAAGACACAUGGUCAUAAAUAAAAUGCAUGGAACCAGCGAGACAAUAGCACAGCAGUAAUGUCAUUUUAUAUGCAGCAUGGCCCUGUUGUGAACGGAAUGAUUGUGAACGGAAUGAUGGCCAAGGAGCUUUAUGCUUCUGCACCGCCAGCUCACACGAUGGUCCGUGUAUUGCCCCGUGGAAAACCGGGGGUGGAAAGCUGUCUCCACGUUCUGCUGCCGAAGCAGCAAGCUGAUUCACACAUCUUGAAGGCACAGUGGAACAUGGAAGGGUGCAUAUGAGACUUGAUUUUGAGGAUGAAACUUCCUGUCUGAAUCGCUAAGUCUCCCAGCAGGGGUGUUAAUGUCCCUGUGAGAUGCAGGCUUCCCACAGACACACCCAGGUUGCGAGUGGGUUCAACAUGGUCACAGGAGCUUCAAAUGGUGAUCCUGAUGCUCAUGGCCAUGCAUUGAGAACAACUGUGUAAGAAGAUAUGGAUAAUGCUUGAAAACUACUAGUAUUAGCACCAUUUUGCAUAUACUCCAAGGAAGAUCUCAAUAAAUGCUUAAUGGAAAUAAGUAAAGGUAUGAAUGCUGGACCUAAUACAGGAGGAAGACCCAGGUGAUUUGUGUACAAUUUGGACACAAGCUCUUGCCAACCACCUGAGAGAUUCCAACAAUGAGAUGAGAUUCCUUACCUUGAACCAGAUAAUUUGGAAUGAAUGUCUAGGCAGAACUUCUGCUUCAGAAUGACCACAAUUAACUACCAGACAACCAACUUUGGGGACAUAUCAGUAGGUGCAGAGCAUUUAGAACUGGAAGGACCAUUUGAAAUACAUAGUUCAUCUCUCUCAUGUUACUGAGGAGGAAAACUGAAGUGCACGGAGGUAAAGUAACUCGCCCAGUAUCACAAUUUGUGUUUGUACCAUUGCUGAGGUGAGCACCUGGGCCUUCUAACCCCAAAUUAAAUUAUUCUCCUAUGUGACAACCUCCUUUAAUGGUUUUUUCUCAUUUAUAUUUAAAAUUUUUAAAGUACCCAAGUAAUAAUACACGUUCAUGGUAGAAAAAGAAAAAAAAUUAGCAAAAUGAGGAAAAUAAAAAUCAGUUUUAAUCCCACCUUCAGAUGCAACUAUUCUCUGUUUUGUAUUUCCUUUCUAGAUAAUAACUAUAACGGAUCAUUAUUAUGAAAUGCUUACUCUGUGCUAGUUAUUAUGGAGUGCUUCUUACAAAAUGCUAGGCAUUUUGUAAACACUCUUCAUGUGUGGAUGCUUUAAUCUUCUGCACAACCCUAUGAUGUAGAUUAUCACCAUCAGUGAUAGGCAGUGUGGCAGGCAGAAUGACAGCCUCCCUGAAAUGUCCACAUACUAAUCCCAGGAACCUGUGAAUGCGUUAUGUUACAUGGCAAAGGAGAAUUAAGAUAGCAGACAAAAUUAAGGUUGGUAAUUGGCUGAUCCUGAAAUAGCAAGAAUAUCCUAGAUUACCCAGGUAGGCCCAACGCAAUCAGAAAGGAAGAGGGAGACACAAGAGGCGGCAUGAGAGUGAUGCGAUGUGAGAAUGAUUCAACCAGCCUUUGCUGGCUUUGAAGGUGGAGGAGGAGGCCAGAGCCAAGGAAUGCGGGAAACCUUUAGAAACUGAAAAACCAAAAAAUGGAUUUCUCCUUUUGGUACUCCAGAAAGGAAUGCACCCCUGCUGACACCUUGACUUUAGCCCAACAUGGUAGACAGAACAAUGGCCCCAAAAUAUCCACAUUCCAAUCCCUGGAAUGUGUGACUGUGUUACCUUACAUGUCAAAAGGAAGUUUACAGAUGUGAUUAAGACUUUUGAGAAGGGGAGAUUAUCUUGGAUUAUCUAGGUGGGCCCAAUGUAAUCAUAAGGAUCUUUAAAAGAAGCAGGCAGGAGGAUGAGAGUCAGAGAGAAGAUGUGAUGACAAAAGCAGGGAAUGGAGUGCUGUGCUUUUAAGACAGAGGAAGGGGCCAAAAGCCAAGGAACACAAGAGGCCUCUAAAAGAGGUAAGGAAACAGAAUCUUCCCUUGAGUCUCUGGAAGAGUAUGGCCCUGUUGACACCUUGAUUUUGGCCCAGCAAAACCUAUUUUGGACUGACCACCAGAACCGUAAGAUAAUAAAUGCAUGUUAUUUUAAGCCACUAAGUUUGUGGGAAUUUCUUACAGCAGCAAUAGGAAACUGGUACACCUAGUUUACAACUUGCUAGGGCCACAGAGUUGGCCAGUGGCAGAGACAGGAUGUGGUUUCAAGCCAUCUGGCUUCAGAGCCCAUAUCUGUUACCAUUAUGACAUAAACAUACAUGGACACAUAGAGAUUUAAAUAGUACAUACAUCUCAAUGAAUGCAAACCUUCCAUAAUAUUUUGAUAGUCAUUCAGCACCACCAUAUUAAAUAGUUGUAGUCCACUCAAUAAAUAUACCACUCCCCAUAUUUUAUAUAAUAAAUCCCUUAUUAUUCAAUACAUACGUUGUUUCUAAUGUUUCAAUAUUGUACUACUGGCAAUGAUAAACAUCUUUCUAGUGCUAUUAAUUAUUUCAUUAGGAAAAACUCUUAAAAUUAGAAACGCCAGGUCAAGUUACCCCUAAGAAAGACUGCAUUGGAAUAUAACGGAAAAUAAAACAUGCAACUGGAAGUCGGAGCAUCUCUGCCUUCUUUUUCUGUAACACCUUUGGUAUUAAGCUAUUUUUCUUAUCCAUGGUACACACUCAAUCGUAUUUUUGUUUUUGAAGGUUUUAGCUAUAACACUAUUUCUUCUGUAGACUCAUAGGUGUUAGAGCAAGAAGGUAUUUAGAGGUGAUUUAGUCUAAUCCUUUAAAUCACAGGUAAAUUCCCUGAGGCCCAGAGUGGUGAACUGACUCACUAAAAGCUCUCCUUACAGGGGUGCUUGGUGAGAACGCACCUUCCUGACUCCAAGGCCAGCUAUCUUUCCACAUCUGCUGCAAAUGUCAUGAGGCUAGCCCCCAAGUUGGGACCAUUAUUAAUUUUUCCCCUCAAGUCAUGCGAAACAUCUCUUGUCCUUUUAAUCAGAAGCAUAUUUUAGGGGCUGCGGAAUAAUAAGCACCCACAUAUCCAGUAUUAAAAGAUAAACUCUGGCCCUUUCCUGGAGUGAGCCUGUUUUCAUUUUAUCAUUGUGAAAUGUGGUAGGAUUGAUGGCAGACAAUAACUCCCCACCUCCCCCAGUAUUUUAUUAAGAUCCGUUCUUACAAAGGAUAACCGGAGGUUUUCCAUCAUCACCUCGUUGUCUUUUUUCUAACUUGGUUCGUCUGCUACCCAACAGUAGUAAGGUUACCUCAUCCUGGAAUCUGAUGUACACAACGGUAUGCAAACUCUUUCCUUCUCUCCGAAGCAAACAAUGAAAUGGGAAAACACUGCCAUUUUCUGACUGACCUCAAUCGCUGAGGGUGGACCCCGCACGUUACAUCAGCAG
RNAcentral lists this long non-coding RNA (4480 nucleotides) under Homo sapiens (human). RNAcentral's name for it is "HSALNT0339767". The record is from RNAcentral. Lineage: Eukaryota; Metazoa; Chordata; Mammalia; Primates; Hominidae.